UAAAAACAUCACAAGAACCUUUGUUAGCUCAUAACUUAGCAUAUUUUCCUCCUAAAUGACAUAUCAUUUUCUUCUUCUCCUCCUCCUCCUUCUUCUUCUUCUCCUCCUCCUCCUUCUUCUUAUUCUCCUCCUCCUCCUCCUCCUCCUUCUUCUUCUUCUUCUUCUUCUUCUCCUUCUCCUCCGCUUUCUUCUCCUCUUUCAUCUUCUCCUUAGCAUAUUUCCCCCCAACAAUGACAUAAUUA
This 242-nucleotide long non-coding RNA is filed under the name Hordeum vulgare. RNAcentral describes it as "long non-coding RNA (HVUL_LNC000265)". Lineage: Eukaryota; Viridiplantae; Streptophyta; Magnoliopsida; Poales; Poaceae. The record is from RNAcentral.